GGGCUGGCGUUGGGGAAGGCGAGCCACUAUAUUGGUCGCUGUCGGGUAACCGACUAUGGCGCUAAACGCUAUACGGAAUAGGCGUUGUGGACCCGGGGGCGGUACCCGGCGCCUCCACCAUUUCCCGGUUCAGGGGGACCGGCGCAUGGGGGCGAAACAGGAUCGACACGCGUAGUAAAGGUAUGGUUUGCGCUCGGUAUGAUACCGCCGUUAUCGGGUCACACUCACAAGUGCCAACGACAACGAGGCACUCGCUCUCGCUGCAUAAGCGUUAGCGCGGUUCGGGAGGCACCGGGCAACAGAAGCCUCCCACU
This 314-nucleotide transfer-messenger RNA is filed under the name Rhodospirillales bacterium. It matches the Rfam family "Alphaproteobacteria transfer-messenger RNA". From Rfam's summary of the family: Bacterial tmRNA, also known as 10Sa RNA or SsrA, is named for its dual tRNA and mRNA-like properties. Its role is to liberate the mRNA from a stalled ribosome. To accomplish this part of the tmRNA is used as a reading frame that ends in a translation stop signal. Lineage: Bacteria; Pseudomonadati; Pseudomonadota; Alphaproteobacteria; Rhodospirillales. The record is from RNAcentral.